AAGGCCUAUUGUUUGGCUCACCUGAGUUAUAGGCCCACCCCUCGAGGUCAAGGCAGCCGGAUCUGUUACCAGAAGGAGGAUUGGGCCGGAAAGAGUGUGGUAACAGAAAACAAUAGCUAUGACAGAGAGACUGUUUCUUGUUCAGUGUCUCAGAUGAUCAUUACAUUCUCUAAAGAGGAGGCAAGUCUGCUUUUAAUGUUGAAAGAAUCCUAUCAUCCUAAGGAGAGGCAAAGAGGAGGAGCAUGUUUAGCUUAAAAAUACCAGAGGUGAUUUUUGAGAAUGGAAGAGCUACUGUUCCUCAGAUUGUCCUGUAGGCCAGCUUUCUGAGACUCAGGUCUUUCUGCCUCAGCACUAUUGGCAUUUUGGCCCAGAUAUUUCUUGUUGUGAGGGGCUGUUCUGUGCACUGCAGAGUAUUUGGUAGCAUCCCUAGCUCCAUCCUCUAGAUGCCAGUAGCAUCCUCCUUCUGCAGUCAUGACAAACACUAACAUCUCCAGACAUUAUGCCUCUGGAAGGCAAGAUUGCCUUUGUUCUGGAAGAAAGGAGGUGUUAAGGAAAAACAAAGUCAGUAAAAGGACAAGAGUUGAUGUCCAAGGCAUGAGUGGAAGCCGCAUGUACUGUGUCUGCAGCAAAAAGGCUGCCUCUUCUGUUACCAAAGAUACGCCGGGUUACUCUUCACUUUUAAAAGAAUGUAUAUCACCGAAAAGAAUUUUGGAGGCUUCCCUGGUGGUCCAGUGGCUGAGACUUCGCACUCCCAAUGCAGGGGGCCCAGAGGUAAGUCCUGGAGGAGGUCAUGGAGAGGACGUAACCACUGGUUGACUCACGAGAUGGACUCAGGCAAUUGAAGGCUCCUCAUCGCCUCCCUCAUUCUUGGAAUGCAUAUUCUGCCCAUCUUUCCUACACUGGGAGCUGUUCCAAGAACAUAGCCUUGAAAGAAUAAAGCAUUGUUGAGAUUGUCUGAAUGACGUGUG
Long non-coding RNA from Bos indicus x Bos taurus (hybrid cattle), 968 nucleotides. NCBI's taxonomy places the organism in Eukaryota, Metazoa, Chordata, Mammalia, Artiodactyla, Bovidae. The record is from Ensembl.